RNAcentral lists this transfer RNA (72 nucleotides) under Synechococcus phage S-PM2. Its description in RNAcentral is "tRNA-Val". The record is from RNAcentral. Lineage: Duplodnaviria; Heunggongvirae; Uroviricota; Caudoviricetes; Pantevenvirales; Kyanoviridae.
AUGCUUGUGUUGAUGAUGUAGAAAAUGUUCUCGCUGCUAUUGCAUACAACGUUAAGUUUGGUGGUAAUAACA